AAAAACUCCAUCCCAUGCUGUUUAACCCUUUGUCUUUUGCGUACUGUAUGUUUCCUCGGCGGGUUCGCCCGCCGAUAGGACACUUCAAAACCUUUUGUAAUUGCAAUCAGCGUCAGAAAAACUAUAAUAGUUACAACUUUCAACAACGGAUCUCUUGGUUCUGGCAUCGAUGAAGAACGCAGCGAAAUGCGAAAAGUAGUGUGAAUUGCAGAAUUCAGUGAAUCAUCGAAUCUUUGAACGCACAUUGCGCCCCUUGGUAUUCCAUGGGGCAUGCCUGUUCGAGCGUCAUUUGUACCCUCAAGCUCUGCUUGGUGUUGGGUGUUUGUCCCGCCUUCGCGCGUGGACUCGCCUUAAAGUGAUUGGCAGCCGGAAUAAUUCUGGGGAACGCAGCACAACUGCAGCCUCCAUUUUACGCCGAGCGUCCAGUAAGCCUUUUUUCAACGUUUGACCUCGGAUCAGGUAGGGAUACCCGC
Molecule: ribosomal RNA, 473 nt
Filed under: Diaporthales sp. MS546
Lineage: Eukaryota; Fungi; Ascomycota; Sordariomycetes; Diaporthales
Description: eukaryotic LSU rRNA
Rfam family: 5.8S ribosomal RNA (bases 135-288)
Source: RNAcentral